Molecule: long non-coding RNA, 502 nt
Organism: Cygnus olor (mute swan)
Lineage: Eukaryota; Metazoa; Chordata; Aves; Anseriformes; Anatidae
Exons: 4
Source: RefSeq, a predicted model, not a curated record
CAAGCGCCGCCCGGGGCGGUGCCCUGCCGGGGCUUCGCGGGCCCCGCCGAUGGAAAAUGGCUGAAGGCGGGAUGGGGUGGGCGGUGUGGAGAAAGAACACAGAGAAUGACUCCCACCAGACAACCCUGUGGAAGGAGAAACUGCUCCCAAGUUUCUGGAAAAAUCUCCAAACAGACAGAGCCUAAAAAGUGAGAUGCUGGCAACUGAACUUCAUCCUGUGCAUCUACAACCUUCAAGAGAAACAGGAAUUAGAAAGAUUUAGGACAAACAGGGAGCAGUUUUCCAGUUCAAAUGUGGGAGCUGGAGGAAACGGAGAUGUGCCCUGGAUGAAAAUCAAGGAUCUCAGAGAAGGAUAUACUGCUUGAACUCAGUAGCAGAGAACAAACUUUGCAAAAGGUACAUGGAGGGUUUUUGUAGUAGACUAAAUCUUGUACUGGAAUUCAGCAGACCACGGGCCAUUUCCAAUCCAAAAUCUACUCAGUUAACAUGUGCAUGACACUGA